GGGUUGUGAGGUUAAGCGAAUAAGCGUACACGGUGGAUGCCUAGGCAGUCAGAGGCGAUGAAGGACGUGCUAAUCUGCGAUAAGCGCCGGUAAGGUGAUAUGAACCGUUAUAACCGGCGAUUUCCGAAUGGGGAAACCCAGUGCAAUUCGUUGCACUAUCAUUACCUGAAUACAUAGGGUAAUGAAGCGAACCGGGAGAACUGAAACAUCUAAGUACCCCGAGGAAAAGAAAUCAAACGAGAUUCCCCCAGUAGCGGCGAGCGAACGGGGAGCAGCCCAGGACCUUAAUCAGCAUCAGUGUUAAGAGAACAGUCUGGAAAGGCUGGCCACAGCAGGUGAUAGCCCUGUAUCUGAAAGCACUGGUGUUGUGAGUCCGAUGAGUAAGGCGGGACACGUGUUAUCCUGUCUGAAUACGGGGGGACCAUCCUCCAAGGCUAAAUACUCCUGACUGACCGAUAGUGAACCAGUACCGUGAGGGAAAGGCGAAAAGAACCCCGGCGAGGGGAGUGAAAAAGAACCUGAAACCGUGUACGUACAAGCAGUGGGAGCACCUUUAUGGUGUGACUGCGUACCUUUUGUAUAAUGGGUCAGCGACUUAUAUUCUGUAGCAAGGUUAACCGAAUAGGGGAGCCGCAGGGAAACCGAGUCUUAACUGGGCGUCUUAGUUGCAGGGUAUAGACCCGAAACCCGGUGAUCUAGCCAUGGGCAGGUUGAAGGUUGGGUAACACUAACUGGAGGACCGAACCGACUAAUGUUGAAAAAUUAGCGGAUGACUUGUGGCUGGGGGUGAAAGGCCAAUCAAACCGGGAGAUAGCUGGUUCUCCCCGAAAGCUAUUUAGGUAGCGCCUCGUGAAUUCAUCUCCGGGGGUAGAGCACUGUUUCGGCUAGGGGGUCAUCCCGACUUACCAACCCGAUGCAAACUGCGAAUACCGGAGAAUGUUAUCACGGGAGACACACGGCGGGUGCUAACGUUCGUCGUGAAGAGGGAAACAACCCAGACCGCCGGCUAAGGUCCCAAAGUCAUAAUUAAGUGGGAAACGAAGUGGGAAGGCUCAGACAGCCAGGAUGUUGGCUUAGAAGCAGCCAUCAUUUAAAGAAAGCGUAAUAGCUCACUGGUCGAGUCGGCCUGCGCGGAAGAUGUAACGGGGCUAAAUUAUGCACCGAAGCCGCGGCAGCGAUAUGUAAAUAUUGUUGGGUAGGGGAGCGUUCUGUAAGCCUGUGAAGGUGGCCUGUGAGGGCUGCUGGAGGUAUCAGAAGUGCGAAUGCUGACAUAAGUAACGAUAAUGCGGGUGAAAAACCCGCACGCCGGAAGACCAAGGGUUCCUGUCCAACGUUAAUCGGGGCAGGGUGAGUCGACCCCUAAGGCGAGGCUGAAAAGCGUAGUCGAUGGGCAACGGGUUAAUAUUCCCGUACUGGUGGUAACUGCGAAGGGGGGACGGAGAAAGCUAAAUCAUCCGGGCGACGGUUGUCCCGGUUUAAGCGUGCAGGUGGACUGACCAGGCAAAUCCGGUCGGUUGUUAACACUGAGGCGUGACGACGAGCCACUACGGUGGUGAAGUGAUUGAUGCUCUGCUUCCGGGAAAAGCCUCUAAGCUCCAGGUUACCAUUAAUCGUACCCCAAACCGACACAGGUGGUCAGGUAGAGAAUACUCAGGCGCUUGAGAGAACUCGGGUGAAGGAACUAGGCAAAAUGGUGCCGUAACUUCGGGAGAAGGCACGCUGGCAUUAGGUGAAGUGGUUUACCCAUGGAGCUGAAGCCAGCCGCAGAUACCAGCUGGCUGCAACUGUUUAUUAAAAACACAGCACUGUGCAAACACGAAAGUGGACGUAUACGGUGUGACGCCUGCCCGGUGCCGGAAGGUUAAUUGAUGAGGUCAGCCGCAAGGCGAAGCUUCUGAUCGAAGCCCCGGUAAACGGCGGCCGUAACUAUAACGGUCCUAAGGUAGCGAAAUUCCUUGUCGGGUAAGUUCCGACCUGCACGAAUGGCGUAAUGAUGGCCAGGCUGUCUCCACCCGAGACUCAGUGAAAUUGAACUCGCUGUGAAGAUGCAGUGUACCCGCGGCAAGACGGAAAGACCCCGUGAACCUUUACUAUAGCUUGACACUGAACAUUGAGCCUUGAUGUGUAGGAUAGGUGGGAGGCAAUGAAGUGUGGACGCCAGUCUGCACGGAGCCAUCCUUGAAAUACCACCCUUUAACGUUUGAUGUUCUAACCCGGGUCCAUAAUCUGGAUCGGGGACCGUGUCUGGUGGGUAGUUUGACUGGGGCGGUCUCCUCCCAAAGAGUAACGGAGGAGCACGAAGGUUGGCUAAGCAUGGUCGGACAUCAUGCGGUUAGUGCAAAGGCAUAAGCCAGCUUGACUGCGAGAGUGACGGCUCGAGCAGGUACGAAAGUAGGUCUUAGUGAUCCGGUGGUUCUGAAUGGAAGGGCCAUCGCUCAACGGAUAAAAGGUACUCCGGGGAUAACAGGCUGAUACCGCCCAAGAGUUCAUAUCGACGGCGGUGUUUGGCACCUCGAUGUCGGCUCAUCACAUCCUGGGGCUGAAGUAGGUCCCAAGGGUAUGGCUGUUCGCCAUUUAAAGUGGUACGCGAGCUGGGUUUAGAACGUCGUGAGACAGUUCGGUCCCUAUCUGCCGUGGGCGCUGGAAGAUUGAGAGGGGUUGCUCCUAGUACGAGAGGACCGGAGUGAACGCACCACUGGUGUACGGGUUGUGAUGCCAAUUGCAUUGCCCGGUAGCUAAGUGCGGAAGAGAUAACCGCUGAAAGCAUCUAAGCGGGAAACUUGCCUCGAGAUGAGUCUUCCCUGACCCUUUAAGGGUCCUGAAGGAACGUUUGAGACUAAGACGUUGAUAGGCUGGGUGUGUAAGCGCAGCGAUGCGUUGAGCUGACCAGUACUAAUGAACCGAGAGGCUUAACCUGACAACACCGAAGGUGUUU
RNAcentral lists this ribosomal RNA (2935 nucleotides) under Morganella morganii. Its description in RNAcentral is "bacterial LSU rRNA". It matches the Rfam family "Bacterial large subunit ribosomal RNA". Lineage: Bacteria; Pseudomonadati; Pseudomonadota; Gammaproteobacteria; Enterobacterales; Morganellaceae. The record is from RNAcentral.